CGGUGAGCUCCAGCUUGCUGGAGUGGAUCAGUGGCGAACGGGUGAGUAACACGUGAGCAACCUGCCCCGAACUCUGGGAUAAGCGCUGGAAACGGCGUCUAAUACCGGAUACGCACCAGAGCGGCAUCGUUACUGGUGGGAAAGAUUUUUUGGUUCGGGAUGGGCUCGCGGCCUAUCAGCUUGUUGGUGAGGUAACGGCUCACCAAGGCGUCGACGGGUAGCCGGCCUGAGAGGGUGACCGGCCACACUGGGACUGAGACACGGCCCAGACUCCUACGGGAGGCAGCAGUGGGGAAUAUUGCACAAUGGGCGCAAGCCUGAUGCAGCAACGCCGCGUGAGGGACGACGGCCUUCGGGUUGUAAACCUCUUUUAGCAGGGAAGAAGCGAAAGUGACGGUACCUGCAGAAAAAGCGCCGGCUAACUACGUGCCAGCAGCCGCGGUAAUACGUAGGGCGCAAGCGUUAUCCGGAAUUAUUGGGCGUAAAGAGCUCGUAGGCGGUCUGUCGCGUCUGCUGUGAAAACCCGAGGCUCAACCUCGGGCCUGCAGUGGGUACGGGCAGACUAGAGUGCGGUAGGGGAGAUUGGAAUUCCUGGUGUAGCGGUGGAAUGCGCAGAUAUCAGGAGGAACACCGAUGGCGAAGGCAGAUCUCUGGGCCGUAACUGACGCUGAGGAGCGAAAGGGUGGGGAGCAAACAGGCUUAGAUACCCUGGUAGUCCACCCCGUAAACGUUGGGAACUAGUUGUGGGGGCCUUUCCACGGUCUCCGUGACGCAG
Molecule: ribosomal RNA, 775 nt
Filed under: bacterium
Lineage: Bacteria
Description: bacterial SSU rRNA
Rfam family: Bacterial small subunit ribosomal RNA
Source: RNAcentral